This is a long non-coding RNA of Gallus gallus (chicken), 7082 nucleotides long. RefSeq lists it as uncharacterized. NCBI's taxonomy places the organism in Eukaryota, Metazoa, Chordata, Aves, Galliformes, Phasianidae. The record is from RefSeq and is a predicted model, not a curated record. The transcript has 4 exons.
GACUCUUUUCUCGUUGCUCUUCACCCAGACUGCUUGUUUUCUGUCCUUCCUACAUGGAAAUGCCUCUCUGCUCCUGAGAGGGACACAAGAUUUCCUUCACUCUCCUUAGCUGCUCUACCUAAGAGUGAGGAAUGGGAGGCAGAACCAUAGGGGAAGAUUCUUCUGGGCCUUGAUGGAGUUCCAGAGAAGAAAGAAACGUCUUUCCUGGGAAGGAAAACAUUGGCAGCAUGAAUUAUUGCCAAUACCAACUGUUGAGAAAAAGACAAACAAUGAGGCAGAUUUCAACAAACUAGAGAUUAAAAGCGUGCCUCUGGAUUGUGUUAAUGGCCUCCUGCUGCUUCAGCUUGCUGUGUAGGGAAGGGCUGGAGCUGUGUGGGAAGGGAUGGACUAGUUGUUACCUUUAAUGGCUUUCUUUAUCUAUCACAAGGAUUGAAAGUGUUGUUUUGAAAAUUGGAAGCCGAUGGUCUUACUCAGUCCUCUGUCUUCAGGACCUGCAGUAAAAGAUUUAAAGAUAUUUAACCACUGGAUGAAAUGUGCCUGGGCACCCCGACAGAGACCAGAAAUGCACAGCAAAGAACAAUGCUUCUGUUGUGAAGGAAAGAAGAAAAAAGCAACACAAAACCCGCAGAUAUUUAAGAGCUCUGCCCCUCUUCCAGUGUAUAUGAAAGUGAUCCAAGGUUCUUAGUGGUUGUGUGAUACACACACUCAGAAUGGCUGUAGAAAGGACAUCCACAGCAAUGUAGCUAACGCGCUCCUCGCUCCUAAAAGUCUUUCAGCAUUCUGCAGAGCCCAGGGGCCCCAAAACCUUACUAAACAGUCUCCUCUAUAUCAAAUUAAUUAGGAAAUUUGUUUUAGAAGUAUGUUCCCAGUUUUGCCUUCAUGUUAGCGUUUCCAAACUUUCCCCAGAACCAGCUCUAGUGUUUUAAAGCAAGUGCCAUGUGGGAGGAGAGAAAUAGUGCUGAGCAAGAGCAGGAGCAGUACAGGAUGGCUAUGUGCCAGGUUCUGCCUCGUCAUCCUGAAAUCCAGUUCUGUGGGAGCUGUGAGUCACUUCCAUGGAUAUAAAAGUAGAAAGUUUAUACAAACCCAAGGAGAGCUGUGGAGUUUUAUUGCCAAUUCCCUGCUGGCUGCUAGCUCUACAGUUUCUUGCCUGGUUCUCCAUCUCACCCCUGGAUUUUCUCAGUCCUCAAUUGCUCGGUAAUUUUCUGCCUUAUCUCUAGAGCCAUGCUACUUUUGUCACUCAGGAGCUGCAAGCAAAACAAGCACGCUGACCUCAGGAGGAGAAAAGGGAGGGUGGGUGGGUCAGAUCGUGACUGUGCCAAGUUCAUACCUGCACAGUGUCUGACCUGCCAAACGGAGUCAGGGUGUCUCCCUUUGGGGGCCUAGCCAGUCCCCACAGCCCCCAAGGAGAGGCUGUUAUCUCUGAGAUGGGGUUAGGGGAGAUGUUGGGAGCAGCAGGAGAGGAGUCUUCAAGCAGAAGAGAAAACGAGAUGGGAGAUUGUCCUGUCUCCGAGAUUAAUGGCCUUCACUGGCAAACAUUAAGUCAAGUCCGGACAGGAAUUCCACAUCAUAUUCAAGUGUUAAAAGACAGAAAGAUAGAGAGAUAGAAGGGAAAGUAAGAGAUAAUUAAUAUGAAAUGGUUGUCUCUGGUCCUUGUGUAAGAAAGAGUCAAGAAGGUCAGGGCCACAGGGUGAUGGGUCAGACAUCAGUGUGAUCAAACACUCAUCAGCAUCAACAGACCCCAUAUCUCUUACCUGGUUAGACCAUAGUACAGCAAAAGACUUAUCUUCCCCUGAACUCAGUUCUGAUCUUCCAGGAUAAACUCAAACAGUGCAGAAGGCAGUGGAUCCCACUCUCUUUGAUUCCAGAAAAAGAAGGGUUUUGGCACUCACUCAUUACUUUUUAAGAUAACAUUUUUGAUAGCCAUUAAAAAUAAAUAACAUGAAAGGUUGCAUGGACUACAAGUUAGGGUAUAACUCUGAUCAUCGUUCAGAGCUUUGCUGUGUCAUGGAAGUGAAUGAGGGAACAGCUUUUGACCUCUUUUCUUUAAAUUAAUAAUGGAGGGCACAGAUUUUUUUUCUUCAUCUGCAGAAGCGAUUUAAAUUAAUAUAUUGAAAAAAAUAAUCCUAUUUAAUGAUGGCUUUACUGAACUACUGGGUUGUAUGUUUUGUUUUCUGUUUUUAUUGGAUUUUCUUUCCGGUUACAAAGCGUGGUAACUAAGCCACUUUACUUACAUUUCUACUAAUUCAUCUUCUCCUUCUGCUUGCUUCUUCCAUAUGGUCAUAAUCCAAUACCGACACAACAAUCGUCUGCACCAUCUCAGCUAAUUACACCACAGUGCUUUGAGACUUUUGAUGAGGAUUAAAUGACAUGGUGACAGCUUUCUGCUUUGAUAUUUCUGCUGCCUGUUCUUACAUCUUCACCAGUAAAUUAGAGAGAAUGCAGAAAAAGGUCAACACACAGUCCAGAAGGAAAGUGAUCAGUGUUCUGUGCAUUCAUAGUUUUUGGUCCAUAGAACUGAUUUUUAGUCUGAAAUUUCCCUUAAGAAAUGGUAGUUGGUUGCAUAUUAGCUAAAUGGAGGCCAUAGAGGUUUAUGCCGUACCGUGGCUGUUCAUCAGCCCGUGUGAAAUAAAAUGAGUUUGGUCCACCUGCAGUGUUAUUUUUUACUGCAGAUUAUCUACCUGGGAAAGGCAUCAAGAGAACAAGGCUUCUGCACUACAAACAUAACCUGUCUAAACUAUAGCAGAUUUGGAGAGUAGAGUUAUGAAAUGACUCAUAAUCAUGGCCCGUCCAUGUAUGCUGUUAUUUAGAAAAUAAUUUCCUUUUUGUGGGGAGAAAACUAUAAUGACAUAUGACCAAAAGUCCAGUCAUUUCAGUCACCUGUCUCCAAAAGUGGCUGAAAAGAUAUAUGUCAUGAUAAGAACAGGAAUGCUUUUACCAGUCUCCAAAAAUCACUAUCACGUUGAUCUAAAGAAAGAAAAGUGUGAUAUGCCUGAGUGAGAAAUUCAGGAAAGUUAUAAAAGGUCACAGUUAGCUAGGUUUGGAUGUGCUAUGCAGUAUGAGUAGCAGAAAGAAUGACACAUUAGCAGGAAAUAGCAUUUUGAUCUACAUCUCUAUACUUCUGGUUACACAUCUUAAGAAGACAAAAAUAAAAUGGAGUUGGUUGGAGGAAGCCCACUUGGGAUUUGGUGUCUAUAAGAUCUCCAUAGGUACCUCUCCCCUACAGCCCCCUAUCCUACAACUCACUUUAACAGUCAGAAAGUGAUGACCAAGUGCCUGUUGAACGCUGAACACUGAGCAUCUCUGCCUGCAGAGAGGCUAAUUUCAAGCCAGCAAGUACAUUUCCAGGAAAAACAUCUUUAUUAAUGUAUCCACCAUCCUGUGGCCUCUUUUCUGAAGCUUGUUGAUGAGUUUUUCAAGAGCUGUUAACAUCCAGAUGUCUCCUGUCUCAACUGAGAGAGCUUUCUGGAGAGCUUUCCUAGCUUGCACUUUUGUGGUUCAUAGCUGUGACAUGAAACAUCUUUCAUGAUGGAAAGGAGCGUCCCUUCAUGUGACCAGCAGGCCAACACUCUGUGGAUCAUUAGGCAGCCCAGCAUAGGAGCAUUGUGUUGAGGAACACAGCGGAGAGUACAGUAAUGGACACUUCCGAUCUGGCAUAUCCUAAAUACUGAAUACUUGGAUAAUUUAUGCUUAUGCAUACAUUCCUUGGUGAGAGAACAAAACAAGAUCUGAUAAUGUUUCUCUUAAGCAAGUCUCAACAAAAUCAUAGCUCUUGCUUGACAAGUAAUGAGACUGCUGUUUUUCCUCCUUCUUUUUUGAAGGCUUCAUAUGAAUUUUUGUAGUCUUGGGUUAUUGCCCUGGGGAAUGGAAUAUAAUUUGAGUGACUGAAUGUACUGUCUUUAUUUUGACUUUGAGUGGGGUUGGGUCUAACAAACAAAGAAGCUUCCAUGUGAGCAGCCCGGACAAGAGUAGCCUUUUUCAUCCAAGCAAAUUGUGCAGCAGGAAGGAGAUCUACAAACAACAACUUAAAAACCCUGGUGAUGACUGCAAGCUGCACAUUCUUAUUGUGCUGAUGGUUUGUGUACUCCUUUACUCUUUUAAUGGAGGGCUUUCUCAGACAGCUCAGAAACCCUGGCCGUAGCAGAAAGGUCACACGAGUGAAGAUGAGAAAGACCCUGGAGAGCUUCAGUGUGGGUGAGCCAUCAGAGCAACCUAUACGGAAGAGCAAAGGGUCUGUGAAGGGUUACAGGACACUCAGGCCACCACAGGUGAAUUCCCCCACUGGAGGGGUGUGACAGAGACAGGGAGAGAGCUCCGUACUUGUUGCAGUCACUCUGAGGGAAUGUUUCCCAGCUUUUCUCCCCCAGCUUCAAUACCAAGACCAGAAGACGCAGGACCCCAGUAGACCAAGCAUCUCCAGCAAUCUCAUGGCUUCAGAUAUUUCUGGGACUGAUGGCUGAUAUGAACAAAUAUUUGGGGGAUUAAAAAACCCGUCUGGUAUGAAAGGAAAUAUUUCUGUAUUAACUUUGGUCAAGGCUAACAAACCUCAAGUUAGUAUGAGCAUUAUCCCUGUUUUCUGCUUUAGUCCAAUUAGAGAAUCUCAUGGUGCAAAAACUGCCAUAUAAGCAAUGUGUUGAUACAUGAGAAUUAAUGGGUGGUUAAAAUUAAAACAAACAAACAAACAAACAAAAAGGUAAAAUGAUUAUUUAAAUGAAAAACUGCAAGAAGUAUUCUGGUUCACAGAGAUAAGGAAACCAUGUCUAUUCUAUUUCAUCUGUUAUACUUUUUUAUCUUGGCAAUUUCUCUUUGAAAACUAUGAAAACAUUUGUAGCUGCCUGAGGAUUCUGUGGGAAAACAUCUACUUUUUAGCAGUUAUCCUCAUCUGUUCCUAUGACUUCUGUGUACUGCUGUUGUGACAACAGAUCAAUUACAGCUAUUCUAGUUUCCAACUGAAUUUGGAUUAUUGGGUCAUUUUAAGGCCUUCUCUGAAUCAACUGCAUGCUCUACAUAAGUUAUUAUGUAAGUCAAGGUAUUUCAUUUUCUAAAGAAGCAAAGAAAAUGUUUUCUAGACCAAUAUAUUGCUGUAUAUUUUGCCCUACUUCUUUUUCCAGUGGAAAAUGGAGAAGAAUGUAGUGCAGGAUAUCAUGCAAACUUUCUCUGUUUAGCUGUGUGAUGUUAAUAUUUUAUUUCAGUUAUUUACAGUGUAUAAACUUGGAGCUCAAUGAGGUAAAUGGGGAAGCUGGAAUUCACAAACAUCACUGCAAAUCCCAUCAACAGUUAAAGACAACAGGUCUGAAACGCUCCUCAGUGUGUAUGAAACUGACUGUGCAAACACUAAACAGUCACUUUGGGUAAAAUGACAUUUGCAACUUAGAGGCAAGGAUAGUUACAGAAAUUAUUCCAUUUGAGCAAAUUCACCUUUACCAGAAAGACCCUACUGAGUCAUUUGAAACUUCAUAUCUGACAAGGGAGUGGGAAAACCAGCUAAGAGCACCCUGAAGCAACCAGGAUCUCUUGGUCAAGUGCAAGAGCUGGGUUGUAACAACAAAAGGGGCUGCUACGUGGCAACUGAUGAGAAGCAGGAGCGUGUUUGGCUUACAGCAGCACUAAAGUAAACAGGAAAUUGCACACAGAAUCUGACCCUCCCUUCAGCCUGUUUUUUGAAGAAUUAGCAGAUUCUUGUCUCUGAGCAUAAGGCAGUUUUUUCAGCCUUCCAUUCAUCUUGGUGGCUCUUUGCUGCAGGCUCUGUACCCUUUCAAGUCCCCGUGAAAAUCAGGAUACCAGAAUUACUUGCUGGUGUCUAUGUUGACAACUGAGCUAAAUUUAAUUUUCUGCUCCUCUGAUUAUAUACCCAGGAUCUAGGCUGCUGGCACUGCCCCAGGUAACUGCUGCUCCUUGUCUGGUGUCACCUCUCAAGCUGCCAUAAGGGAGUUGUUGUUCCUGAAGAUCCUGUUGCCCACCCCAUGACGAUGGCCUGGCUUUUGUCUUGUUGUGGUUCUUUGAUGUGCAACCUCAUUUGGCUAUGGCAUCACAGCACAUUUUGGCUGUAACCCCACACCCGAUGGAGGGCACACCCAGAACUGCUCAUGGAUUCUCCAGUCUGGAGAUGAGGGUUGAAGCACAGGUUCACUGAGUGAUGGAAGUCGUUCUGCAUCACUGUCCCUUCCUCAUCAUUGUGAACCUCUUCAUCAUUUAUCCAUGCUGCUAGAAAUAAUUUUUAUAUACUUCUCAGCUGAGAAAGUUCAACUCUAAUAUAAAUACCUGCAAAACAAUACUGGAAAUGACCCCUUGACAAAUAAUUUAAUAGUUUAAGGCAUUUAGUGUGUUGUAUUGGUAGCUCUCACCCAUGUGUCACACAGGACUCCUUUAAGGAGAAUCCAAGCAUAUCUCUUCUUCUGUCAAGCUGCUUUAUCAUGCAAACUGGUAAUCUUGUCAAGAAAGGAAAUCAGAUUUUUUUACAAACAGAUUGAUUUUCCAUAAAGCUAUGUGGAUCAGCAUUAAUUAAACUCUCUGACUCUGCUUCCUCUUCCAUUUUCAAGGCCUUUUGUUAUUUUUUAUUUGCUAAUGUCAGGCUCAAUAGCUGAAGUUAGGCUGCUGCUGACACAGAAUCAGCAUGUUCCCACGCUUCUGGGAUUUGCAUGGUGCUCUGAGAUCUCUACAAAAUUACUAUCAGAAAAGGUCAUUUUUCUUUUUUGCUAACACUAAUCAAAACUCUCACUCGUCUUGAAUAGUUUGCCAUCUCCCUCUAGCAAUUGGAUGGUAUCACAGAUAGUAUUUUGCUACUGGUAGAUGGAAAACAGGCUAUCCUGCUUCUCAGCAGAGCCAUCCAGCACAGCACCCUGUCACCAGCAGUGCACGAAAGCAAUUGCUGAGGAAAGCUGAUAAGCACAGGUGAACAGCCCCAAGUGCUCUGCCAACAGCCAGCCACAAUACUCAUACUUUCUCUUGUAUUGCUACACAGUGUAUUUUCUAAUUUGUAUUACUUGCCUUUACAAUCCCUACAUUCACUAUUAUGUGUAUGUCCAUAGGUGUAUACAAUCUCACAAGCUUCCACUAUCGUUAUUAAAAUCUUAAAGAAUUACAUA